AAACAGGUUAAUAUUCCUGUACCGAUCUAUAGUGCGAUGUGGGACGGAGAAGGUUAGCUCAGCCAACUGUUGGAUAUGUUGGUUCAAGCAUGUAGGCGUGCUCUUUAGGCAAAUCCGGAGAGCUUAGCUGAGGUGUGAUAACGAGUCUGCUUGCAGACGAAGUGAGUGAUACCCUGCUUCCAGGAAAAGCCACUAAGCUUCAGCUAUAGAUUGACCGUACCGCAAACCGACACUGGUGCGCGAGAUGAGUAUUCUAAGGCGCUUGAGAGAACUCUGGAGAAGGAACUCGGCAAAUUGACACCGUAACUUCGGAAGAAGGUGUGCCUUUAGUAGGUGAACCAUUGACUUGGGGAGCCCAAUGAGGUCGCAGAGAAUCGGUGGCUGCAACUGUUUAAAUAAAACACAGCACUCUGCAAAGACGAAAGUCGACGUAUAGGGUGUGACGCCUGCCCGGUGCUGGAAGAUUAAUUGAUGGGGUGCAAGCUCUUGAUCGAA
RNAcentral lists this ribosomal RNA (495 nucleotides) under uncultured bacterium. RNAcentral describes it as "bacterial LSU rRNA". It matches the Rfam family "Bacterial large subunit ribosomal RNA", at positions 1422 to 1916 of the family's 2925-position model. The record is from RNAcentral.